UGCCUGAAGGACUAGUGGUCAGGCCACGGCGCUCUUAACGCCGUGGCCCGGGUUCGAUUCCCGGGCAGGGAA
Molecule: non-coding RNA, 72 nt
Organism: Pangasianodon gigas (Mekong giant catfish)
Lineage: Eukaryota; Metazoa; Chordata; Actinopteri; Siluriformes; Pangasiidae
Source: the annotation of a GenBank genome assembly